AUCGGUGGUUCAGUGGUAGAAUGCUCGCCUGCUGCGCGGGGCCGCCCGGGUUCGAUUCCCGGCCGAUC
This 68-nucleotide transfer RNA is filed under the name Cordylochernes scorpioides. RNAcentral describes it as "tRNA-Ser". It matches the Rfam family "tRNA". Rfam says of the family: Transfer RNA (tRNA) molecules are approximately 80 nucleotides in length. Their secondary structure includes four short double-helical elements and three loops (D, anti-codon, and T loops). Lineage: Eukaryota; Metazoa; Arthropoda; Arachnida; Pseudoscorpiones; Chernetidae. The record is from RNAcentral.